ACCUGGUUGAUCCUGCCAGUAGUCAUAUGCUUGUCUUAAAGAUUAAGCCAUGCAUGUCUAAGUAUGAGCUUUUAUACGGCAAAACUGCGAAUGGCUCAUUAUAACGGUUAUAGUUUAUUUGAUUGUCAACAUACUACAUGGAUAACCGUGGUAAUUCUAUGGCUAAUACAUGCGCAAACACUAUAUCACUUGAAGAUAUAGUAGUGUUUAUUAGAUACAGAACCAAUACACCUUUCUCAAGGUGUAGAAAAAGAUGAUUCAUAGUAACCGAACAGAUCGCAUUAUAAUCAUUUCUGUGAUUGGCGAUAGAUCAUUCAAGUUUCUGACCUAUCAGCUUUCGACCGUAGUGUGUUGGACUACCGUGGCAGUGACGGGUAACGGGGAAUUAGGGUUCGAUUCCGGAGAGGGAGCCUGAGAAACGGCUACCACACCUAAGGAAGGCAGCAGGCGUGGGAAUUACGCAAUCUUAAGUCAGGGAGGUAGUGACAAGAAAUAACAACACUGGAAAUCCUAUUUCUAGUGAUUGGAAUGAUGGGAAUCCAAACUCCUUUCGGAGUAACAAUUGGAGGGCAAGUCUGGUGCCAGCAGCCGCGGCAAUUCCAGCUCCAAUAGCGUAUAUUAAAGUUGUUGCAGUUAAAAAGCUCGUAGUUGGAUGUCUGCCGGAAGCAAUCAGUCCGCCCUUUUAAUGAGGGUGUGCAUUUAAUGAAUACCGGCAUGAUCUUCCCAAUAAUAUUUACUAUAUUAGGUUAAUUCCUAAUAUGGUAGUUAUUAUUGAGACGACAGUUACUUUGAGAGAAUUAGAGUGUUUGAAGCAAGCUUGUUGCCUUGAAUACUGCAGCAUGGAAUAACAAUAUAGGAUUUCGGUUCUAUUUUGUUGGUUUCUAGGACUGAAAUAAUGAUUAAUUGGGACAGUUGGGGACAUUCGUAUUUAACUGUCCGAGGCGAAAUUCUUAGAUUUGUUAAAGAGGAACUACUGCGAAAGCAUUUGCCAAAGAUGUUUUCAUUAAUCAAGAACGAAAGUUAGGGGCUCGAAGACGAUCAG
Molecule: ribosomal RNA, 1042 nt
Filed under: Sarcocystis fusiformis
Lineage: Eukaryota; Apicomplexa; Conoidasida; Eucoccidiorida; Sarcocystidae
Description: bacterial SSU rRNA
Rfam family: Eukaryotic small subunit ribosomal RNA
Source: RNAcentral